RNAcentral lists this ribosomal RNA (497 nucleotides) under uncultured bacterium. RNAcentral's name for it is "partial 16S ribosomal RNA". It matches the Rfam family "Bacterial small subunit ribosomal RNA", at positions 28 to 507 of the family's 1533-position model. The record is from RNAcentral.
GAUGAACGCUGGCGGCGUGCCUAAUACAUGCAAGUCGAGCGAACAGACGAGGAGCUUACUCCUCUGACGUUAGCGGCGGACGGGUGAGUAACACGUGGAUAACCUACCUAUAAGACUGGGAUAACUUCGGGAAACCGGAGCUAAUACCGGAUAACAUGUUGAACCGCAUGGUUCAACAGUGAAAGACGGUCUUGCUGUCACUUAUAGAUGGCUCCGCGUCGCAUUAGCUAGUUGGUAAGGUAACGGCUUACCAAGGCAACGAUGCGUAGCCGACCUGAGAGGGUGAUCGGCCACACUGGAACUGAGACACGGUCCAGACUCCUACGGGAGGCAGCAGUAGGGAAUCUUCCGCAAUGGGCGAAAGCCUGACGGAGCAACGCCGCGUGAGUGAAGAAGGUCUUCGGAUCGUAAAACUCUGUUAUUAGGGAAGAACAAAUGUGUAAGUAACUAUGCACGUCUUGACGGUACCUAAUCAGAAAGCCACGGCUAACUACGUG